CUCUGCUUUUCUGAUGCAAGAAGCUGCAAGAUUCCAUCUCUGCCAUAAUGUCAUCCUGUUGGCUGGCUACAUCCACAAAGUUCAACAAACCAGUUCAACCUGAAGAAAGAGAGAGGGAGAGGGAAGAUUUUGACUCUAAGAUGAAACCCGAAUCUUCCAGGAAAUGGAGGCUAAGCAGAGAAUGAAAGAGGCAAAACAUGUUAGAGUUCUUUUGGAGCGUGCAUACCAGUUUGGAGAGACAAACAAAACACAGG
This 254-nucleotide long non-coding RNA is filed under the name Callithrix jacchus (white-tufted-ear marmoset). RNAcentral describes it as "lncRNA (ENSCJAG00000052428.2)". The record is from RNAcentral. Lineage: Eukaryota; Metazoa; Chordata; Mammalia; Primates; Cebidae.